RNAcentral lists this ribosomal RNA (47 nucleotides) under Fusarium fujikuroi. Its description in RNAcentral is "partial 28S ribosomal RNA". The record is from RNAcentral. Lineage: Eukaryota; Fungi; Ascomycota; Sordariomycetes; Hypocreales; Nectriaceae. RNAcentral also lists the same sequence under 66 other names.
GUUGACCUCGGAUCAGGUAGGAAUACCCGCUGAACUUAAGCAUAUCA